AUGAAUUAUUGGAAAUCCUUCACAGAUUUGUCUCUUCUCCCCUGUUUGUCUAUUUAUAUCAAUAUGGACUUGUGGAUAUUUAUUUUAUACUUUAGGUCGAAUCCGUACCACUUUAUUUAUUUUGUUACUCAAAUUGUUACAGCUUUGGCCAUUGGGGGCACUUUGCUUUGGCUCCUGUGUCCCUUUUACAUACUCCUGUUAUUGUGGGAUUUAGGUGGGGUUUCCUUCCUUCCUUCCUUCCUUCCUUCCUUCCUUCCUUCCUUCCUUCCUUCCUCCUUCCUUCCUUCCUUCCUUCCUCCUUCCUCCCUCCCUCCUCCCUCCUCCCUCCCUCCCUCCCCCCUUCCUCCUUCCUUCCUUCCUUCCUUCCUUCCUUCCUUCCUUCCUUCCUUCCUUCCUUCCUUCCUUCCUCCUUCCUUCCUUCCUUCCUUCCUUCCUUCCUUCCUUCCUUCCUUCCUUCCUUCUUCCUUCCUUCCUUCCUUCCUUCCUCCUUCCUUCCUUCCUUCCUUCCUUCUUCCUUCCUCCCCCCCUUCCUCCCUCCUCCCUCCUCCUCCCUCCCUCCCCCUUCUCCCUUCCUCCCCCCCUUCCUCCCCCCCUUCCUCCUUCCUCCUUCCUGCCUGCCUGCCUGCCUGCCUGCCUGCCUGCCUUCCUCCCUCCCUCCCUCCCUCCCUCCCUCCCUUCCUCCCUUCCUCCCUCCCUCCCUUCCUCCUUCCUCCCUUCCUCCCUCCCCCCUUCCUCCCUCCCUCCCUCCCUCCCUCCCUUCCUCCUUCCUCCUUCCUCCUUCCUCCUUCCUCCUUCCUUCCUUCCUCCUUCCUUCCUUCCUUCCUUCUUCCUUCCUUCCUUCCUGGCACUACAAGCUAUUCCAGACUUACCUCAUGUAUUUCCUGCCCCAGACCUAGAAGCAGCCAUUUCUCUGAGGAGUCUUGGUUUGUUUUAUUGGGGAACGGUAGUACAAACCGAGAUCUGGGGGUUAGGUGUGCUCUUCGCUACUGGGGUGUGGUUGUUUGUAGGCCAAGGAAAAGUGCACAUGUACUGACCAGUGUAUAA
This 1044-nucleotide long non-coding RNA is filed under the name Felis catus (domestic cat). RNAcentral describes it as "lncRNA (ENSFCAG00000053136.1)". Lineage: Eukaryota; Metazoa; Chordata; Mammalia; Carnivora; Felidae. The record is from RNAcentral.